This is an RNA transcript of Mandrillus leucophaeus (drill), 1480 nucleotides long. It is a transcript of the gene named pre-mRNA-splicing regulator WTAP pseudogene, with no coding region annotated. NCBI's taxonomy places the organism in Eukaryota, Metazoa, Chordata, Mammalia, Primates, Cercopithecidae. The transcript has a single exon. The record is from RefSeq and is a predicted model, not a curated record.
CUCAGCGCCAUUUUGUGGCAGCGAGACCCACAAAUAAAGGGGAGCGCAGGGGUUGCGGCGGGUCAGGCGGCAGAGCUGUCCGGCUGCGCGGGGGCCCGGGCGGAAGGGCAAGCAGCGUGGCCUCGGCCUAUGCGACUGGCGGCGCCGGCUUGGCUUCUGCCUGAAGAGGAUUCAAGAUGACCAACGAAGAACCUCUUCCCAAGAAGGUUCGACUGAGUGAAACAGACUUCAAAGUUAUGGCAAGAGAUGAGUUAAUUCUAAGAUGGAAACAUUAUGAAGCGUAUGUACAAGCUUUGGAGUGCAAGUACACAGAUCUUAAUUCUAAUGAUGUAACUGGCCUAAGAGAGUCUGAAGAAAAACUAAAAGCAACAACAGCAGGAGUCAGCACGCAGGGAAAACAUCCUUGUAAUGCGACUAGCAACCAAGGAACAAGAGAUGCAAGAGUGUACUACUCAAAUCCAGUACCUCAAGCAAGUCCAGCAGCCGAGCGUUGCCCAACUGAGAUCAACAAUGGUAGACCCAGCGAUCAACUUGUUUUUCCUAAAAAUGAAAGGUGAACUGGAACAGACUAAAGACAAACUGGAACAAGCCCAGAAUGAACUGAGUGCCUGGAAGUUUACGCCUGAUAGCCAAACAGGGGAAAAGUUAAUGGCGAAGUGUCGAAUGCUUAUCCAGGAGAAUCAAGAGCUUGGAAGGCAGCUGUCCCAGGGACGUAGUGCACAACUUGAAGCAGAGUUGGCUUUACAGAAGAAAUAUAGUGAGGAGCUUAAAAGCAAUCAGGAUGAACUGAAUGGCUUCAUCAUCCAGCUUGAUGAAGAAGUAGAGGGUAUGCAGAGUACCAUUCCCGUUCUGCAGCAGCAGCUGAAGGAGACACGCCAGCAGUUGGCUCAGUACCAGCAGCAGCAGUCUCAGGCCUCUGCCCCAAGUACCAGCAAGACUACAGCUUCUGAACCUGUAGAACAGUUGGAGGCCACAAGUAAAGACUGCAGUCGUCUGACAAACGGGCCAAGUAAUGGUAGCUCCUCCCGCCAGAGGACGUCUGGGUCUGGAUUUCACAGGGAGGGCAACACAACCGAAGAUGAUUUUCCUUCUUCUCCAGGGAAUGGUAGUAAGUCCUCCAACAGCUCAGAGGAGAGAACUGGCAGAGGAGGUAGUGGUUACGUAAAUCAACUCAGGGCGGGGUAUGAAAGUGUAGACUCUCCCACGGGCAGUGAAAACUCUCUCACACACCAAUCAAAUGACACAGACUCCAAUCAUGACCCUCAAGAGGAGAAAGCAGUGAGUGGGAAAGGUAACCGAACUGUGGGUUCCCGCCACGUUCAGAAUGGCUUGGACUCAAGUGUAAAUGUACAGGGUUCAGUUUUGUAAUAUUUUUUCAGCAAAUUUUUAUACAGUGUCAUUUAAUUUGGGAGAGGAUACUGUCCAGAAAAUUAAUGCAAACUUUUGUCACAAUUUGCCUUUUUGUGGGUGUACGUUUUGG